Long non-coding RNA from Astyanax mexicanus (Mexican tetra), 2884 nucleotides. RefSeq lists it as uncharacterized. NCBI's taxonomy places the organism in Eukaryota, Metazoa, Chordata, Actinopteri, Characiformes, Acestrorhamphidae. The transcript has 4 exons. The record is from RefSeq and is a predicted model, not a curated record.
CUCUGGGAUGUUGCUGGUCAGAGUGUAGGCGAUGGAUUUCUUCAGGUUAUCAAAGAUCAGGCGACCUGGAGGCAGAAAACAGUUUUAGGCUGAUCUCUCACCUUCCUCAUGAUCAAGGAUACCCCACAAGCUUCCUCCACUCACCUUCUUCCACUCCAGUAACAAUGGAGGCAAAGUUAUCAUCCAGCAGGAUCAUGUCCGCAGCCUGCUUGGACACGUCGGACCCUGAGAUACCCAUGGCAACACCAAUAUCAGCCUUCUUCAGAGCUGGAGAGUCAUUCACACCAUCGCCAGUUACAGCUACAAUAGCCCCCUGAGACACAGAGAGAGAGAGAGAGAGAGAGAGAGAGAGAAACAGGGAGUGUUUUACAAGCACUCUCUCUCCCAGUCCUCCCAGCUCCAGGUAGGCAUUCUGAAAGGCCUCCUUCAUCUCCUCAUCCAUGGGCUGCUCCUUGCCCUGAAUCAUGAUGGUGGAGCAGCGGUCCAGGAUACGCUCAGGUGCACCCUUCAUCACCAGCAGGUAGCGGUUAUCGUUGGGGUCCUCAGUCUCAUGGAUGGACAGCUAAGCAAGAGGGAGGAGGAAGUCAAAAUCAGUCUGAUAUCAAGUAUAUAUAUAUAUAUAUAUAUACACUGCUCAAAAAAAUAAAGGGAACACUCAAAUAACACAAUAUAACUCCAAGUAAAUCAAACUUCUGUGAAAUUAAACUGUCCACUUAGGAAGCAACACUGAUUGACAAUCAAUUUCACCUGCUGUUGUGCAAAUGGAAUAGACAACAGGUGAAAAUUAUUGGCAAUUAGCAAGACACACUCAAUAAAGGAGUGGUUCUGCAGGUGGGGACCACAGACCACUUCUCAGAACCUAUGCUGUCUGGCUGAUGUUUUGGUCAGUUUUGAAUGUUGGUGGUGCUUUCACACUCGUGGUAGCAUGAGACGGACUCUACAACCCACACAAGUGGCUCAGGUAGUGCAGCUCUUUCAGGAUGGCACAUCAAUGCGAGCUGUGGCAAGAAGGUUUGCUGUGUCUGUCAGCGUAGUGUCCAGAGGCUGGAGGCGCUACCAGGAGACAGGCCAGUACACCAGGAGACGUGGAGGAGGCCGUAGGAGGGCAACAACCCAGCAGCAGGACCGCUACCUCCGCCUUUGUGCAAGAAGGAACAGGAGCACCCGCACUGUUCCCGCCCGUUCCCCAGACCUGAAUCCGAUUGAGCACAUCUGGGACAUCAUGUCUCACUCAUCCACCAACGUCACGUUGCACCACAGACUGUCCAGGAGUUGGCGGAUGCUUUAGUCCAGGUCUGGGAGGAGAUCCCUCAGGAGACCAUCCGCCACCUCAUCAGGAGCAUGCCCAGGCAUUGUAGGGAGGUCAUACAGGCACGUGGAGGCCACACAAAAUACUGAGCCUCAUUUUGACUUGUUUUAAGGACAUUACAUUAAAGUUGGAUCAGCCUGUAGUGUGUUUUUUCACUUUAAGUUUGUGUGUGGCUCCAAAUCCAGGCCUCCAUUGGUUAAUAAAUUUGAUUUCCAUUAAAUGAUUUUUGUGUGAUUUUGUUGUCAGCACAUUCAACUUUGUACAGAACAAAGUAUUCAAUGAGAAUAUUUCAUUCAUUCAGAUCUAGGAUGUGUUAUUUGAGUGUUCCCUUUAUUUUUUUGAGCAGUGUAUAUACAGCUCUGGAAAAAAAAGAGACCACUUCAGUUUCUGAAUCAGUUUCUCUGAUUUUGCUAUUUAUAGGUAAAACAAGUUCAUAUUUGGUGGAAAUAACCCAGGUUUUAAUCACAGUUCUCAUGCAACUUGGCAUGUUCUCCUCCACACCUCCUCCUCCUCUCCUACACACUGCUUUUAGACAACUUUAUGCCACUCCUGGUGCAAAAAUUCAAUCGGUUUAUGCUGUUUGAUGGCUUAUGAUCAUCCAUCUUCCUCUUGAUUAUAUUUCAGAGGUCUUCAAUUUGGUAAAAUCAAUGAACUUCAUGUUUUUUUAAGUGGUCUGAGCUGACUUUACAGAAUACAAUGGAACAAUCUGAACCUUAGGGAGAAUCUUUAUAUUUUCUUUUUUUUUCAUAUUUUACAUAAAUGUUUUGAUUUGUUUUAAUACAAAAUGGUUGUGUGUAAAAUGUGCCGUAUGAAGUAUGAAGAAUGUGACCAAUUUUAUUUUUAUUAAUUGACAGCCUUAAUGUCACCUCUGGUCUUUGCCUCAUUCUAGAUGUCAUUUAACUGAAGGAACUUCAGUGUAUUUGGGUGGAUCUACACUGUUCUAGGCUAAUAUGGAAAAUCACUGACCCUAGAUGUAGUUGAUCACUGAUCAAUUAGAUUUUCUCUGGACUGUUCCUUUAAAAACUGACCUGGUAUUUGUUGGUGGAGUUGAAAGGGAUCUCAGCUACUUUCUUGUUCCUCUCUCUCAUCUGUUUCACGGAGCCGCAGGAAAGCUCGAUGCACUUGAGCAGAGCCGAUUCGGAGGCGUCGCCGGCCACGUCCCUCUUCAGGAUAGGCAGAGAAUCUUGGCCUGCCUUGAACACCGCCCUGUUGCACAGUGACGCCACACGGGCCAGAGACACCCACGUCACGGAGGUCUUAUCGAACGAUGCGCCUGCAGAAACAAACACACAGGAGUGAUGAGGUGUUAGGUGUAAACUGAGUGGGUACAUGUUUAAGAUCUAUUAUCUUAUGUAACUCAUAUAAAUCAUACUGUAUUAUAGGUUCUGCUUCCAGUAGUGCUAACUAUAGAAGCAAUUUCAGAACAGGCUGAACACAAAGACUCAAGAUGUUCUACUGUUUUCUGCAAUAAAAAAAAACAACUUUAUUUUGGCUUAGUUUAGUUUAGCUACACCUUCUCAUUCACUGUUAUAAUUUACUGUAUUUUUCGCACUAUAAAGCGCAUCAAUAAAAGUG